CCUACGGGGGGCUGCAGUGAGGAAUAUUGGUCAAUGGGCUUACGCCUGAACCAGCCAAGUCGCGUGAGGGAAGACUGCCCUAUGGGUUGUAAACCUCUUUUGUCAGGGAGCAAUUGGCGCUACGUGUAGCGUUAUCGAGAGUACCUGAAGAAAAAGCAUCGGCUAACUCCGUGCCAGCAGCCGCGGUAAUACGGAGGAUGCGAGCGUUAUCCGGUUUUAUUGGGUUUAAGGGGUGCGUAGGUGGAAUGUCAAGUCAGCGGUAAAAUCGCGGGGCUCAACCUCGCUCCGCCGUUGAAACUGGCGGUCUUGAGUGUGCGAGAAGUAUGCGGAAUGCGUGGUGUAGCGGUGAAAUGCAUAGAUAUCACGCAGAACUCCGAUUGCGAAGGCAGCAUACCGGCGCCCAACUGACGCUGAAGCACGAAAGCGUGGGUAUCGAACAGGAUUAGAUACCCGUGUAGUC
RNAcentral lists this ribosomal RNA (460 nucleotides) under uncultured bacterium. Its description in RNAcentral is "partial 16S ribosomal RNA". It matches the Rfam family "Bacterial small subunit ribosomal RNA", at positions 338 to 795 of the family's 1533-position model. The record is from RNAcentral.